RNAcentral lists this ribosomal RNA (774 nucleotides) under uncultured Neocallimastigales. RNAcentral describes it as "partial large subunit ribosomal RNA". It matches the Rfam family "Eukaryotic large subunit ribosomal RNA", at positions 23 to 616 of the family's 3401-position model. The record is from RNAcentral. Lineage: Eukaryota; Fungi; Neocallimastigomycota; Neocallimastigomycetes; Neocallimastigales.
AGAGAGAGACAUGCGCGCAUAUCAAUAAGCGGAGGAAAAGAAACUAACAAGGAUUCCCCUAGUAACGGCGAGUGAAGCGGGAAGAGCUCAAAUUUGAAAUCUUAAAGGGUUUCCCUUUACGAAUUGUAGUUUAAAGGAGUGUUUUCUGUUGAGGUUUUGGUAAAAGUUCUUUGGAAUAGGACAUCAUAGAGGGUGAGAAUCCCGUAUUUGACCUUUACUUUCAACUUUGUGAUACACUUUCAAAGAGUCGGAUUGUUUGGGAAUGCAGUCCAAAAUGGGUGGUAAAUUUCAUCUAAAGCUAAAUAUUGGCGAGAGACCGAUAGCGAACAAGUACCGUGAGGGAAAGAUGAAAAGAACUUUGAAAAGAGAGUUAAACAGUACGUGAAAUUGUCAAAAGGGAAGCGUUUGACACCAGUGUUGUUUUUCUGAAAAUCAAUUAAAGAACUGUUUAUGCUAAGCUGUUUAGACUUUAUCAGCUAACUGUUUAGUUUUGAGCUUUUCUUUAAUGCACUUUUCAGUUAACAAGUCAACAUCAAUUUCUUUUGCUGUAAAAAAGCUUGAGGAAGGUGGCUUGAGAUUCGUCUUAAGUGUUUAUAGCCUCUUGCCUAUGCAGUCGGAGAGAUUGAGGUCUGCAGCGUAGAUCCUUCGGGGCUAAAUGCAUUUGUGCUAAGUUAUAGCAUUUUAUAGACAACUUGUUGACUAUGAUUUGUCUUGUAGCUUACUCGCUUAUGUUAUUUUACCUACGCUUAGGAUGUUGAGCGCAUGUCUCUCUCU